This 301-nucleotide ribosomal RNA is filed under the name uncultured bacterium. Its description in RNAcentral is "partial 16S ribosomal RNA". It matches the Rfam family "Bacterial small subunit ribosomal RNA", at positions 509 to 807 of the family's 1533-position model. The record is from RNAcentral.
CAGCCGCCGCGGUAAUACGAGGGGGGCAAGCGUUGUUCGGAAUUACUGGGCGUAACGGGCGCGUAGGUGGUUAUGUAAGUGAGAUAUGAAAUCCCCGGGCUCAACCUGGGAACUGCAUCUUAUACUGCGUAGCUGGAGUGCAGUAGAGGGUAGUGGAAUUUCCGGUGUAGCGGUGAAAUGCGUAGAUAUCGGAAGGAACACCAGUGGCGAAGGCGGCUACCUGGACUGACACUGACACUGAGGCGCGAAAGCUAGGGGAGCAAACAGGAUUAGAUACCCCUGUAGUCCCUGUCUCUUAUAC